RNAcentral lists this transfer RNA (77 nucleotides) under Paraburkholderia solisilvae. Its description in RNAcentral is "tRNA-Ile". It matches the Rfam family "tRNA". From Rfam's summary of the family: Transfer RNA (tRNA) molecules are approximately 80 nucleotides in length. Their secondary structure includes four short double-helical elements and three loops (D, anti-codon, and T loops). Lineage: Bacteria; Pseudomonadati; Pseudomonadota; Betaproteobacteria; Burkholderiales; Burkholderiaceae. RNAcentral also lists the same sequence under 4 other names. The record is from RNAcentral.
GGGUCUGUAGCUCAGCUGGUUAGAGCACCGUCUUGAUAAGGCGGGGGUCGCUGGUUCGAACCCAGCCAGACCCACCA